GCAUGGCUCAGUUGGAUAGCAUCUACUUGGUAUGCAGAAGGUCCUGGAUUCAGUCCCCAGCAUCUCCA
RNAcentral lists this transfer RNA (68 nucleotides) under Sphaerodactylus townsendi. RNAcentral's name for it is "tRNA-Thr". The record is from RNAcentral. Lineage: Eukaryota; Metazoa; Chordata; Lepidosauria; Squamata; Sphaerodactylidae.